AGAGUUUGAUCCUGGCUCAGGACGAACGCUGGAGGCGUGCUUAACACAUGCAAGUCGAACGAUGAAGUGGAGCUUGCUCCACGGAUUAGUGGCGAACGGGUGAGUAACACGUGAAUAACCUGCCCUCAAUUUCGGAAUAACCCAGGGAAACCUGGGCUAAUACCGGAUACGUAAACCUGUGGCAUCACAUGGUUUUGGAAAGUUUUUCGAUUGAGGAUGGAUUCGCGGCCUAUCAGCUUGUUGGUGAGGUAAUGGCUCACCAAGGCGACGACGGGUAGCCGGCCUGAGAGGGUGAACGGCCACACUGGGACUGAGACACGGCCCAGACCCCUACGGGAGGCAGCAGUGGGGAAUAUUGCGCAAUGGACGAAAGUCUGACGCAGCGACGCCUCGUGAGGGACGAAGGUCUUCGGAUUGUAAACCUCUUUCAGCAGGGACGAAGCGAAAGUGACGGUACCUGCAGAAGAAGCACCGGCUAACUAUGUGCCAGCGGCCGCGGUAAUACAUAGGGUGCAAGCGUUGUCCGGAUUUAUUGGGCGUAAAGAGUUCGUAGGCGGUUUUUCGCGUCGGAUGUGAAAACUCAGGGCUCAACCCUGAGCCUGCAUUCGAUACGGGAAGACUCGAGGACGGCAGGGGAGACUGGAACUUCUGGUGUAGCGGUGGAAUGCGCAGAUAUCAGANAGAACACCAAUGGCGAAGGCAGGUCUCUGGGCCGAUCCUGACGCUGAGGAACGAAAGCGUGGGGAGCAAACAGGAUUAGAUACCCUGGUAGUCCACGCCGUAAACUAUGGACGCUAGGUGUGGGGAACAUUCCACGUUCUCUGCGCCGCAGCUAACGCAUUAAGCGUCCCGCCUGGGGAGUACGACCGCAAGGUUAAAACUCAAAGGAAUUGACGGG
This 898-nucleotide ribosomal RNA is filed under the name uncultured bacterium. Its description in RNAcentral is "bacterial SSU rRNA". It matches the Rfam family "Bacterial small subunit ribosomal RNA", at positions 8 to 917 of the family's 1533-position model. The record is from RNAcentral.